GAACGCUGGCGGCAGGCUUAACACAUGCAAGUCGAGCGGUAACAGGGGGUGCUUGCACCCCGCUGACGAGCGGCGGACGGGUGAGUAAUGCUUAGGAAUCUGCCCAGUAGUGGGGGAUAGCCCGGGGAAACCCGGAUUAAUACCGCAUACGUCCUACGGGAGAAAGCAGGGGAUCUUCGGACCUUGCGCUAUUGGAUGAGCCUAAGUCGGAUUAGCUAGUUGGUGGGGUAAAGGCCUACCAAGGCCACGAUCCGUAGCUAGUUUGAGAGGAUGAUCAGCCACAUCGGGACUGAGACACGGCCCGAACUCCUACGGGAGGCAGCAGUGGGGAAUAUUGGACAAUGGGGGCAACCCUGAUCCAGCCAUGCCGCGUGUGUGAAGAAGGCUUUCGGGUUGUAAAGCACUUUCAGUAAGGAGGAAAACCUUACGGUUAAUAACCGUGAGGCUUGACGUUACUUACAGAAGAAGCACCGGCUAACUCCGUG
Molecule: ribosomal RNA, 485 nt
Filed under: uncultured bacterium
Lineage: Bacteria
Description: bacterial SSU rRNA
Rfam family: Bacterial small subunit ribosomal RNA
Source: RNAcentral